UGAGGAAUUUUGCGCAAUGGCCGCAAGGCUGACGCAGCAACGCCGCGUGGGUGAAGAAGGCCUUCGGGUCGUAAAGCCCUGUCAGGUGGGAAGAAAUCCAUGGGGAGUAAUAUGCCUUAUGGUUGACGGUACCACCAGAGGAAGCACCGGCUAACUCCGUGCCAGCAGCCGCGGUAAUACGGAGGGUGCGAGCGUUAUUCGGAAUUACUGGGCGUAAAGCGCGUGCAGGCGGCCAUGCAAGUCUGAUGUGAAAGCCCCGGGCUUAACCUGGGAAGUGCAUUGGAAACUGCAUGGCUUGAGUACUGGAGAGGAAGGGGGAAUUCCCGGUGUAGAGGUGAAAUUCGUAGAGAUCGGGAGGAAUACCAGUGGCGAAGGCGCCCUUCUGGACGGUUACUGACGCUGAGACGCGAAAGCGUGGGGAGCAAACA
RNAcentral lists this ribosomal RNA (428 nucleotides) under uncultured prokaryote. RNAcentral's name for it is "bacterial SSU rRNA". It matches the Rfam family "Bacterial small subunit ribosomal RNA", at positions 355 to 774 of the family's 1533-position model. The record is from RNAcentral.